CUACGGGGGGCAGCAGUGAGGAAUAUUGCACAAUGGGGGGAACCCUGAUGCAGCAACGCCGCGUGGAGGAUGACGCAUUUCGGUGUGUAAACUCCCUUUAUAUGUCAAGAAAAUGACGGUAGCAUAUGAAUAAGCACCGGCUAACUCCGUGCCAGCAGCCGCGGUAAUACGGAGGGUGCAAGCGUUACUCGGAAUCACUGGGCGUAAAGGACGCGUAGGCGGGUUGGAAAGUCAGGUGUGAAAUCCUACAGCUUAACUGUAGAACUGCACUUGAAACUUCUAAUCUAGAGUAUGGGAGGGGGAGAUGGAAUUAGUGGUGUAGGGGUAAAAUCCGUAGAUAUCACUAGGAAUACCUAAAGCGAAGGCGAUCUCCUGGAACAUUACUGACGCUAAGGCGCGAAAGCGUGGGGAGCAAACAGGAUUAGAUACCCCCGUAGUC
RNAcentral lists this ribosomal RNA (439 nucleotides) under uncultured bacterium. RNAcentral describes it as "partial 16S ribosomal RNA". It matches the Rfam family "Bacterial small subunit ribosomal RNA", at positions 339 to 795 of the family's 1533-position model. The record is from RNAcentral.